AAUGACUGCUGUGCUUCACUGCUCCUGAAGCAGUUUAAUAAGACGAAGCCCAGAGAAACAUCUCUGAAACUGAGAUGAAUCAGAACCAUGAUGUUCCUGCUGAUCACGCUGCUGCUCGCACUUCAAGGAUCAGAUGCCAGUCCAUCUGUGACUCAGACUCCUGCAUCAAAGUCUGUUCGUUCAGGGGAGACGGUCUCUCUGAGCUGUACAGCCAGUACAGGUGUUGAUAGUGAUCUCAGUUGGUACCUGCAGAAACCUGGACAGCCUCCUAAACUACUGUUUUAUCAAGUCAGCGAACGUGAAUCUGAUACUCCAAGUCACUUCAGCAGCAGUGGAUCGCAGCCUGAAUUCACUCUGACAAUCAGAGGAGUUAAAGCUGAAGAUGCAGGAGAUUACUACUGUAUGGGAGUGUAUGCUGGCCCAGUGUUCACACAGUGA
Molecule: non-coding RNA, 438 nt
Organism: Mugil cephalus (flathead mullet)
Lineage: Eukaryota; Metazoa; Chordata; Actinopteri; Mugiliformes; Mugilidae
Source: the annotation of a RefSeq genome assembly